CAGGUGUAUUAGUCAGCUUUUUCAUCACAAUUUAAACAAUAGAACACACAAUUUAAAGCAAGAGAGUUUAAUUUGCCUCACAGUUUCAGGGAAUUCAGUUCAUGGUUAGCUGACACCAAAGCAGAAACGCCGUGGUAAGAGGUGUGGUAGAACAAAGUUUCUCACUGAAUGGUGACCAGGAAGCAACUAGGAGAGCCACACCAGAGAGGGAGGAAUAGAGAACCGGAUCUAGACCUCAGGUAACACUGCCAUGGUUCACCCAGGUACACCCAGGCUCAUGUUCCACCACUGUCCUGAGGACUCCCAAGCCAAUCAAGUUGACACAAUCAAGCUUGUCCAUCACAACAGUUUGGUAAGAUGUCUGUAAUUCACCCUGAAGAGCUGGUACUAGAUUGCAAGGUGCCUUCACAUCUACUCAGAACAAUGUGUAACUACUGUGGACUGCUAUUGGAUACAGGCCACAAGAUCGUUCUAGACAAAGUGGUGAGAGAACUUUCAAAAGCCCAAAAUAUCACACAAGUUAAGCCUGCUCUUUUUUUUUUGAAAGGAUUCUUGGAAAUCCAACCCAGUAACACCUGCAGAGUUUUAGGGUGAAAACUUGAACUCUGGGCUUGGCCAUUUGUCCCAAAAUGGGCAGUGGUGGAGGGCAAGGAGAGAGCUUUAAUCAGCACGGUUGUGCUGGGCAGGAC
Molecule: long non-coding RNA, 689 nt
Filed under: Fukomys damarensis (Damara mole-rat)
Lineage: Eukaryota; Metazoa; Chordata; Mammalia; Rodentia; Bathyergidae
Description: lncRNA (ENSFDAG00000029370.1)
Source: RNAcentral